Molecule: ribosomal RNA, 244 nt
Filed under: uncultured Pelotomaculum sp.
Lineage: Bacteria; Bacillati; Bacillota; Clostridia; Eubacteriales; Desulfotomaculaceae
Description: partial 16S ribosomal RNA
Rfam family: Bacterial small subunit ribosomal RNA
Source: RNAcentral
ACUCUAGACGAACUGCCGUGACAAACGGAGGAAGGUGGGGAUGACGUCAAAUCAUCAUGCCCCUUAUGUUCUGGGCUACACACGUGCUACAAUGGCCGGUACAGACGGAGGCGAAGCCGCGAGGCGGAGCAAAUCCGAAAAAGCCGGUCUCAGUUCGGAUUGCAGGCUGCAAUUCGCCUGCAUGAAGUCGGAAUCGCUAGUAAUCGCAGGUCAGCAUACUGCGGUGAAUACGUUCCCGGGCCUU